CAUUUGGCUCUGGACACUUGAACAAUUUAGUGUUGGAAAUAUGCAUUGAGCCUUCAGCUGCCAUGUGCUGUUCUAAUAAAAGACUAGCAUCUUCACUGUGUUGAAGAAGCAAUCUAGCACAUCAGUGUGAUCUAGUAUGUUGUCCAGGUGUUUUAAGUGCCAAUCUUGAUAAAGGUCCUCAUAUGGACCGAAACGUCGAUGAAAAACGGCAUCAACAGUGAACCUGAAUAAAAUAAAAUUGAAUCUACAAGUGAUUUCAGAGACUGAUUUCUGGGCCUCACAUCACAAUGCAGUCUAAGAAGACCUCCAUCUCCUUGGCAUCAGGAAACUCGCAACGCAAGAUAAAUGAGGAGUCAGCAUCACACAGCUGCAAUGAGACUGGGACGCGUGGGAAUUUCACUCAACAGAAGUGAAGCAACCUUUAACAAACGGCGCCUGAUCAAUAAUGCAGACUUUACCAUUGCCGAAUAAAAAGGCCUGUCUUACAAGUUAUGUCUGUGGAUAAUGUCAAAACCAUUUAUCAAGGGCCCAGAUGAUUAUCCCGCAGCUAUCUUUUGCUGAAAAUAUAAAACUUCAUUCUAUCCUGUCCAGGGACCGGACGAAUCCAACUGAGAAAAUCUCUCAUCAUUGUUCAUUUACCCUCCAGCAGCCAGUAUCGUUACACCAUCUCUGAGUGUUUGUGAUACCUUUUAUCCAACAUUGCUUAAUAUGCUGUGACAACUGUACACACAACUCCUUUUCCCAUUCAUUGAACAGACUGUUAGUGUAUUAAGAACAAGGUCCUGAUCUGUGCAUCUGGUAACGUUUAUGUGCUAGGAUUGGCCUAACCAUUGCACUUCAAGGUCUGCACUUCUACCCCAGGGAUUCAGGUGUAAUUUACACUAUCUAGGAGCUGGGUUUAUGAAUGCAGAUAUAGAAUCUUUCUGAAAGCUCAGUCCCCAUUGACUAUUGUAAUUUCCCCACAACACCAUGGAGAGCAGGGGUCAGACACACUGUUAAGGUGUUAACACACUCCUCCCAUCACACACCUCACUGAUUAUACUCUUGUGCCCCAUACACACAGGGCGAAUUGUCCUGUGUGCUGAGCGAUCUAUGCUAAGCAGUGUUUUUUAUGCAAAUGUUAGGCGAUCUAACUAGAUCUUGCCUGCAUGUGCUAAAGAUCUGAGUGGGCGACGGCGAUGUGCGGGACCAUGCAUCGCAAUCGCUAUGGGGUAAACACACAAAGUGCCAUCGCUAUGGGGUGUACACAUAGACAGAUCGCUUAGAAAAUAGGCAAAAAUUGUCCCGUGCGUAUGGGGCCUAACUCUUUCUCCGCACAUCUACAUGUGCUGUGCAAUCUGUCCAGGGUCCAGGUUCCUUCCACUAUACAGUAUAAUCAGGGGCCUAUCUAGCAUUCUGAUUUCUUCCAAAAAUCGUAAGAUAGUAAAAGAUCCAAAAGUCAGGAAUCUGCAGUGUCAGGGCAGUGUAUUAAAACUGUGUUGCAGGAGAUGCCAUAGAUGGGCUAAUUAUUGGGGAUGUAGUAAUACAUAAUACAAUGCAAUAGAAUAGUGUUGACAUUGAACAAGUAGCAGGUUCCUAUACCCCAUUAUUAUACCCUAACUCAUACCCCUUUCACACUGCAAAUGACGGAUCCCAUCCGGUAAUUGGAAACGGGUUCUUACCAGGUGGGACCAGGCAUUUGACCCAACACGCUGCCAUCCCGACCUGGCAUAUUGCCGGAUAGGUUGCUAUCCGGGAGAGGAGACGGCGUCAUCGGGGGCGGAUUCUCACCGACCCGGCAACCCGUACACACUGCCACUGACCGGGUAUUCAACCCGGGAAUAACCCUUCUUAUAACCCGGGUUGAAUUACCGGGUCAGAUGACCCGGUAAUUAUCCAUGGGCCUUUCACAUGGCACAGUGACCCGUGUCAACCCAGCAAUAUACCGGGUUGAUACCGGUUAUUUGUGCGAUGUGAAAGGGGUAUCACUGACUGCACUGUACAGUAUAUGAGUGACCCAGACUUACUGAUUGUAGCAAGCUCCACAGCUUAAAAUACUCAGUAUUAUCCCCUCUCACUUACUGACUACAUAUUAUAACAGAGUUUUAUAAUACCCAUUUUUACACCCCUCAGUCAGUGAUUGUAUUGAUUAUAUAUCAUUGCCCCCCCCCCCCCCCCCCCCACCACCACUGAUUGUAGUACCUGCUACAAUCAGUGAGAAGGGGGAGGCAUUAAUAUACAAUAGCUUCAAACUAAAGGUACUGAUAUAUAAUCAAUAUAUAUAUAAUAAAAUAUAAUAUUUUGAUCUGAAACAAAUAAGUGUUUCAAACAUGCAAAAAAAUAGAAUAAAUCAAGAAAGGAGCAAAAACUUUUUCACUCCACUGCGGGUAGUUUUUUUUUUUUUUACAAGGUAACCACAUCAUUAAUAUUAGACUUCACACAUUGUAGCAAAAGGCAUGGAAUUCUAAAAUGGUGGUACACAAACAAGACAAAUGGGAAAUGAGAAUAUCAACUUGGUGACCCUGAGAUAAGUCAUUCAUUUUACGUGAAGAUCUACUUGUGGGCCCACUUAUUUUACUACGAGAAACGCAUGGAAAAGCAAAAUAUUAUAAAAUCCCCUGUUAUAAUUAUUGCGCAUUUAAGGUAUCCAAUGUAAAAACUAUGUGUGCUGCAUAAACUUUAUAAUGUCAUGACAUCACAAUAUAAGCUUGUAAUAUAAUUUAAUGGUGUACCCAUUAUAAACAGUGUAACACUGGGUAUGGACAAUUAAACAACAAUAUUAUAGUAACCCUAUGAACAUUUUUUUUAACAUAAAACACUGGCAGUGAGUUAUGUUAGCAAUUUUUUUGUAAUUUCAGACUGCUAUUAUUAUUAUUAUUUUGUAGAUUCUAUGAUUCUAGAUACUAUGUCUAUAGGGGGCAUUCAAUUUACUGUGGGCUAAUUGAUCCCCCAGGGCUAUCCAAUUAGGUCUGUGGUACAGUCGCUAAUAUCAGGCAUUUUAAUUCGGAACCUUAACAGGCUUUAAAAAAAAAAAGCUUGAUUAAAGGUCAUUUUUUGUCAAUCCGGAAGCGAAAAACACAUAGGACCGUUAACUUAUUACAGAUUCUAUGGGGAUGAUUCAAUUGCUUUACGUCCUGCCAGCCACUAGAUGGCGUCCAAUGGAGCAAUUCAAUUGUUGCUCCAAUUGGAUGUGAACUGCUGCCAGCACCAGCAUUUCAGCUCGUAGCACUCCCGUGCUGGCGAGCUGAAAUUAGUGAAAAGUCUGGCUGCCCAAACAGCACUUUUCGCAUCGCGCCCAGCACUAUGGUCGAGUUUAGCCAUUCUAUGCAGCUAAACCCAGCCUGUCUGGGCAUGAUCAGUGCCAAAAUUCUUUUGGGAAUAUCGCCCCUCCAAUCUCCAGUCACUGUAGAUAAACAAUUGAAUUGCCCCCAUGUGUUUUCAACCGAAAAUGUAUAUAUUUUUUUACUGCGCAAAAAAAUGGGGGUUAAUUGAAUAGCCUGCAAAUUAUGUUAUUUUUAAAUGAAAAAAUAACAUAUUGGUUCUAAGUGAAUUUUCCCUACUGUAUAUUUGGAAUCCAAAAUAUGUUUUAUGCCCGCUCUAUGACAUCCCCCUCCUUCUUUUCCCCCUUCUGCCAUGACAUUACAGGCUGAGAGCUGAGACACUGUGUCAGCUCUCCAGAGAAGUAAUUAACAGGAGACAAUAAUCUGUAGGAGGAUGCAUAACUAUCAGAUGCAUACUUGAAACAGAAUUUAUUGCUUAAAGGGCAAAUAUCUUAAUAAGGUGCACAAAAUUCUGUGUCCUGUUAUAUGACAUUCAGGGUUUGUCAUAUAAACCAUAUGUAUAUUUUCAUACUACAGCAAAAUACAUUUUUAUAUUUGUGGUAAAAACGUAACAAGAACCAGAACACCAAUGAUCGCACUACAUUACUAUAUACAGUACAGUGUGAAAUUGUAUUGAAAGUUGAUACCUCAGCUUUAUCUAAGGACCUUUAUAAAAUUCCUUUAGCUGACUACUUAAGCAGAAUGUGGUCACUACAUUGAAAGCAAACAAUGCAUGUUAAAUUGUAGCACCUGCCACAAUUAGUUAAGUUGUUUCAAACUACAGACACAAAUGAAGCAUGACUUUAUGUGUAGAAAUCCAAUGACAAAUUGAACUGAAAGCAAAACAAAGUCUGUGUGGGCUUCAUGAUGAACAGAGGACCCCUGAAGAUGUAUUACAUCAUAUUAUAAACCCGAGUAUGUGGGAGUGUACACAGAAAAUGACAAGACAUUUCCAGGCCAAUGAUUUGUUCAGGCUGAGAAUGGUUGCCAGGGGCAAUAAGCGUUGAUCCCUUCAGCGCCAUAGAAGCCUCAAGCAAAAUCUCUAGCUAAUAUUGAUUUACUAUUCCCUCGUACUCUGAAUUAGCAUGUAAAGGAAAAUAUAAUGACUAUUACAAAAUGAAAGUGCUGGUCACUAAAACUGAAUCAUGGUUACGUAUAUAGUAAUACCUGCAUUAUGCUGAUACACUCUGUUAGAGCAGGAUGUACUGUAACUAGAACAUAUAAUUUGGCAUUAUUGCAAACAAAAGCAUUAGCAUAAUGAAGUAUUUUCUAGUAAUAAUCUUAUUUUAGAUGCACAGAAUGUUAAUUUACUAUUUUCCUGCUGAAAUUAUAUUACAUAAUUUGUCAUUCUGCAGCUGAUCGACCUUAGAG
Molecule: long non-coding RNA, 4670 nt
Organism: Pseudophryne corroboree (corroboree frog)
Lineage: Eukaryota; Metazoa; Chordata; Amphibia; Anura; Myobatrachidae
Exons: 7
Source: RefSeq, a predicted model, not a curated record